Molecule: ribosomal RNA, 399 nt
Filed under: uncultured bacterium
Lineage: Bacteria
Description: bacterial SSU rRNA
Rfam family: Bacterial small subunit ribosomal RNA
Source: RNAcentral
GGGGAAUAUUGGACAAUGGGCGAAAGCCUGAUCCAGCUAUGCCGCGUGUGUGAAGAAGGUCUUCGGAUUGUAAAGCACUUUCGGCGGGGACGAUGAUGACGGUACCCGCAGAAGAAGCCCCGGCUAACUUCGUGCCAGCAGCCGCGGUAAUACGAAGGGGGCUAGCGUUGCUCGGAAUGACUGGGCGUAAAGGGCGCGUAGGCGGCUUGCACAGCCAGAUGUGAAAUUCCUGGGCUUAACCUGGGGGCUGCAUUUGAUACGUGUGGGCUAGAGUGUGAAAGAGGGUCGUGGAAUUCCCAGUGUAGAGGUGAAAUUCGUAGAUAUUGGGAAGAACACCGGUGGCGAAGGCGGCAACCUGGUCCAUUACUGACGCUGAGGCGCGAAAGCGUGGGGAGCAAA